Canis lupus familiaris (dog) is the source of this 7005-nucleotide long non-coding RNA. RefSeq lists it as uncharacterized. The record is from RefSeq and is a predicted model, not a curated record. The transcript is spliced from 4 exons. Lineage: Eukaryota; Metazoa; Chordata; Mammalia; Carnivora; Canidae.
GACCGGGGGUGCCCCGCGCGGAGGCGCCGACCGCCCUGCCCACGCCUCGGCGGGCCCCCAGCCCGGGAGAAACCCGAGUUUGGAGGCCGAGGGGAGCCCACAUCCCCGGGGGUCCGGGGGUGACCGGUAGGGGGGAGGGAGCGCAGGAUUAGAAAAAUGACCAUAUUGCAACUAGGCGGGGCGCGCCCAGCUGGCUCCCACGGCGGAGCGUGCGACUCUUGAUCUGGGGGGUCCUGAGUUCAAGCCCCUGUUGUGCAAAGAGCUUACUUUAAAAGAAAAAAAAGAGAGAGAGAGAGAAAGAAAAGAAAAAAAAGAAAAGAAGAGAAGAGAAGAGAAAAAAAGAAAAGAAAAGAAAAGAAAAGAAAAGAAAAGAAAAGAAGAAAAAAAUAGGCGCUCCUGCCUGGCCUGGGAGGCCGGGCGGGAGGGUGCUUCAAGAGAAGGGCAGUAAGUUAACAUUUUGCAUUUCUUUGUACACUGGGCAGCAAAGACCUGCUCCUUCUAGUCUCGGUGCUAAAAAUACCCAGCUUUCUUUGGACCGCCUGCUGAGAUUUGUUCCUAAAAUCUGUCCUGGGGACAUGGCUGAGAGCACUCUUGGGAGGACGGAGGGAGACCCGAGGUAUGGCUUGCACAGGGGUGGUCACGCCGCUGCCUGGUACUGAGAUUAGAAAGGCUGACCUCAGCGGUCUCCUCCGGCCUCUGUGUGAGGAGGCGCAGGCACACUUCUGAUUCUUCAACUCCUUCAAGUGGAAGAGGGUGAGGUGGGCAACAGGAAGGUGGCAGCUAUCGAAACUGGGCCACGUUCUGGUGCCAGCAGCCAACAGGUUGGUUUCUCCAUAAGGAGGACAUCUUGCAAGGAAGACAGUUCUUAUUAAGGAGAAGGCAGCCUGCUUGUGACAUCCCGGGCAGCUGAGGGACCUGCACAGGGAACCUGUCCAUUCAGUCACCCUUAGGCAGAUAGUGAGUGCUUGACUGAGGGCGUUAUCUGUCCCAGGCCCUAUUUUGACCCUGAGGAUGCAACAGUAAACGUGCAGCCGAAGCCUCUUGCUCCACAAAGCCACUUUCAAUGGAGCUGGCAGCGAGGGUCUUUGAGAAGAAGAUGCUGAAGUCAAAUGGAUGAGGAGACGGCCUGGGGAAAAGCCAGGCGACACCUUCCAGGUUGAGAGUAGCAUGUGCCAAGGCCCUGAAAAAAAAAAAAAGGUAAGCUCUGGAUGCGGGAAGGAGCUGAUGGAAAACAGUGUGGCUUGAAUAAUAGCGGGCCUGUGAAGGAGAAUCAGGAUGAAGUGGGGAGGUGGGCAGGGCAUGCGAGACUGUCUCGCAUGGAGGCUUUAUAUUAAACCAUUGAAGGGUUUUAUGCAGAAGACUAACAUGUUCUGAUUUACUGUGUGAGGAAGACAUUGCGGGGGUGGGGGGUGGCAGGCAGAAAUAAAAGCAAGAGGACAAUUAGGCUGUUGUGGCAGCCCAGGCCAGAGAUAAUGGUGGUUUGGACCAAAUUGUGGCCACACUAAGAUGAGUAGUUGAGAGAAACUAUUUUGGACAUGAACUCAACAGGACACAUAGGGAGGACGGAUGUCGGGAGGAGAGGGAGAAACCAAAGAUAACUGCAAUUUCUGGCUGGAGUAAGCAGGUAGACAGGGCCUCAUUUGUUGGAUGAGGUUACCUAGAUGAAAGGCACUCUAUAGCUCGGGGAGAAGCGUCGAGAAUUCUGCUUUAGCAGUGUUGACUUUGAGAUUCCCGCCAGAGACUCAGUUCAGUUGUUGAGAUGAGGAGCUCAGAAGAGAAGCCUGGGCUGGAGGUGGGCCUUUGGGAGGCAUCAUCUUAAAGACGUAGAAACUGUGGUAUCUGAGGAAGUCACCUCAGGUGAGCCGGUAGUUGCAGAGGAAGGGAGGGCUCACGAGGAACCCAGAGGAGCCAGAGCAGGGAAGAAGACGGAAAGGCUGAGCAGGCAAGGGGAGAACCAGGAGACUGCUAUGUCCCAGAGAGGGAGAAAGGAAAGAAUUUCUAGAACAGAGUGGUCGGCUGAGUUAGAUGCUACUUAGAGCUCAGACCAGCUGAGACAGGGAGGGAUCCAUUGACUCUGGCAGCAUGAAAGACAUUGGCGAAUGUGAUAAGGACAGCGUGCCUGGAGUCCUGGGACAGAAGCCAGACCAUGGUGGAGCUAUCGUGUUUGGACAGCCUGUGUAGCAGGGAACAAGAGAACCUGGGAGGGGUCUCGAAAUGGACGUGGAAUCACAGGAGACUUUGGCAGAGAUUGCUAGGUGACCCUGAUAGCCAUUCUCCCCCUGGCCAUGUGGCUCCCCCAGAAUAAAAGCAAGUUGUCAGACUCCCUUGCAGCUAGUUAUGGUCCUACGACUUAGUUCUAGCCAACUAGCAGCAAGGCGGGGUCCUACGACUUAGUUCUAGCCAACUAGCAGCAAGGCGGGGCAGCGUCAGGUGUAUGUGUAGCUGAAGCUCAAGCAACCAUAUUAGACUUCAAAGUGGAAGGCAUGUGUUAAGGAUGUUGUCAGUGCUACAGGUUAGAAGACAUCGGGGUCCUAAUGUGUAGGGAGCCACCAUACCUGCUCUGGAAGACCUGCCUCUUGACUUUGUGAAAGAAAGAGAUUUCUGUCUUGUUUAAUCUUUUGUUUUCUGAUACUUGUAGCCAUAUCUAGUUUUAACUUUUAGAAUACAGAGGGGGUUCAUUGAAAUAUGGAAGUUGCUAGAGCAAGUUUAGGGACUGAUAGGAAUGAUCCAAGAGAAAGGCAGGUGUGAGGAUUCUGAAGAAAGGGAGAUGGGGCGUGGGCCCUAAUGAGAGGACACCUCUGAUAGAGGGGCAGACACCUUCACCAUUCUCGAGGGGGGUAGUGGAGGCAGAGAUGUUGGCAGUGAGGUUGGCCUUGAAAAGAGAGUCAUUCACACCUGAUGACAGCUGCUGAAUUCUGGAUGUGAAGGACGUUGUGAGCUUAGAGCAAGGAAGAGAGAGAGAGGAUGAAGCCACCAGUAAGCACCAGGAACUAGAUGGUGGAGGUCCCGCCAGCCUCAACAGCAUGAGGACUAGCUGUGAAGAGGGUGGAGGAAAUGCCCACAGAGCCACCAUGGCCUCCACCCACCCCACCACCCGGCCUCACUUAACAGUUCCUUUAUGCCAUUUCCCCUGCCAAAUGAGACCCACUAAGCCUUACCUGACCCGUUUUUAUGGGUCACCACUUUGGGUGCCUUCAGAGCAUCGGGGAUACACAAAACAGAGCAGGCCCAUUUUAUUUUCCUGUUUUAAAAAAAUAAAACGAAUCCAGAGAUGGACAGCCCCAAUCCGUAAAGGGGCCGACUGUAUUAUGACCAGUGACUUGGUUUCCAAGUCUGUAAUUACCGAGAAUAUGGCUGAAUUACAGUGCAGACUAGAAGCCUGAGCUGUGGAUUAUGGGAACAAAAACCAGUACAGGAAGGAAGAAAAAGAAGCUGACAGACAGGCUCCAGGCUCUUCUCCUUUUCCUGGACCUGCAGUCGACUCCUCCCUUGGAUCUAAGACGUGCCACGCGGCCCGACCUGGCCCAGAAGACCCCAGCAGGUGUGGGGGGGAUCCAGUUCAGGAAAGUUUCACUUCCCUCACACAUGUGCCGCUGCUCUCUGCUUUUUGCCCUUCUGCCCGUGUCGAGUGCACGUGGGAAAGAGCUAGAGCAGCCCUCCCGGGACCACCAGCCGCUGUGAGGAGGGCCGCUUCCUCAGUAAGGAGAGCCCGAGCAGACCUACGGAGCCGACGGGCCUGAAUGGAAGCCUGUGCCGGAGAUGACCUCCCAGUGCCCUUCCAGCCCUGCCCCUCCGUGAGUCACCCAUACCGGAAUCACUUCAAAUGAGAGAAGAUGGCUUUGCCAAGAUGUGGCCAGAUGAGACAUGAGAGGGAGGGAGCAUGUCAGAGAGGCUAAGACAAGGCCCCCGUGAGGCUGCCUGCCCUGCCCCCCAGCUCUGUCCCUCACAGCUGGGAUGUAAGGGACAGACACAGAAGUGAAAGUCACCUGGAAGUGCAAAAAGUGCUCCUUCGGGAAUAAUCUCAUGUGAACUGACCUUCACAAAGCUAUGCAUUUAUGAAACAAAUGUGGUAAGUGGUCUCAGGGCGUCACACAGCCCAUAAGUGAUAGAAGCAGAACCAUCAGCUUUAUGUCCAAUCUUCCCCCCCAACACUGUGCCCCUGGGGAAUCAUUAACACAGGGAUUUGGGGAUCUGCUGCUGCGCCCCAGGGAUCUCUCUGCUCAGGCCCUGUCAGAAGGAAUCCUGGGACUCUCUUCCCAGAAAGGGGAGAGAGAAGCACCCACACACGCCUGAAGCAGAGCAGAGCAUUGGUGGAUGCUGCAGGCAUCGUGGGUGACUCCGGGCCCCUCACAGCUUUUUGCUUGCUGGUCCCCUGGGAGAGCCCCGCUGCCCCCCUUCUGCUGGGCAGUUCCUGUCAUGUGCGCACACUGCCAUCUAGGGGCAGUUGGCUGACCUGGGUUGAUCAGGCCCCUGCCUGGUGCGUGUGUUGGGGGAAGGGAGGAGGGCUUCUCAGUCCUUGUCUGACGCUGUGGAGCUCGCCUUCCAGGGGCUUCUGUUCCCUUGGCACUCCUAUUUAGCCACCCAGGAAGGUCCACGUAUUGCACACCAACUCCUUGGAGCCUCCUGAUCUCCCCUCCUCGUAGGUGUUGCUUCCCUUCCCAGGCUCUGCGCUAAGCCUUCCCCCUGCCCUCUCGCCUCCACAGGCCUGUGAGGUCUCAGCCCCUCCUGUGUCUUUAGGCCUCUUCUGUGCACUGGCCUCGCUCCACGUUUACUGCCAGUCCUGCUCCCUCUCCUGGGCCACCAUCCCAGUCUAGAAUGGAAAUCGGAUGCCGUCAGCUGCCUCCUCUAAACUCGUAAAGUUGUUUUCACUGAAUGUUCUACAGAGACUGACCAGGUGCGGUCACUGCAACCACCUCUCUGACCACAGGCCACCCUCCCACAUUGACCCGGCCUGGCGCCUGGGUGUAGUGGCAGCUGCACGCACGGCCCUUCAGGACCAGGUGUGGGAAUCGGGUCUCUCAGGAGGGAACUGCCCCCCUGGCAGAAGGAAGCUGCUUCACCCAGGGCUGGGGGGCCCAGCGCUCACCAAAGCCCCCUUCUGUCAUUUCUGGACAACUGAUGAGUGGCCCCAGCCCCUGCCUCCCCCUGGAGCAGUUAAGGCCUUCCUUGGAAGGGCCUCCUAGUUCAUCCCCCACCCCCACCCCCCCAGACACGCACUUCCCCUCACUUCCUGCACACAAGUCUCUGGAUCUGCUUCUGUUUCCUGUGUGCCUGGCCUCCUCAUGUGCCAUCACCUCAGCUAUGAACCUCUUCUGUCCCUUCCCUUUGACGGUGUGAAGACCUGCAGCGACGUAGAAGCCACUCAGGCUGGUCCCUUAGCCAGGUUCUUCAGAAUACGCCUGGAGGUGCAGCCACGUCCCUGGCUCCCACAGCGUCCCUCCUACCCUGACACUGGUGUGUCUCGCUUUGUUGCUGCUGUUCCAGCUGCCACUGGCCAGCUGGUCACCGGCCUCCCUGGUGCUCCUGCCUGGCAUCUGCCCACUGCCUCCGUGUCUCGUAGGUGCCCGGCCAGCCCACGAGGUCCUACUCGGAGUCCGGAACCCAUCCCAGGUCCUCGGAUCCACUGUGCCCGGGGUGGAUGGUUGGUGGCAAGAGACCCGGAGAGGGGCCUCCUGGAGGAGGUGCAGCGUGCCAGCUCUCGCAGGUCCCCAGGAGAGGGUGGCGACACGUGGCAUACGGGCACAUGUCUAUCCUGUCCCCUCUUAGGGCUGCUCAGACAGACAGAUAAUAAGAAACAAAUUUACAUCCGUGCAGUAGCAUUUUGUAACCAGUCUUAGUAUGAGUGUGCAGAUCCGGUGUGGUGAUGCCUGUGUUCUCCUCGAUUUUGGAAGGUGGCUGAAACAUUUAUGAGACUCUGAAUCAUUAGAAUUAGGAAGAGGGAUCCCUGGGUGGCGCAGCGGUUUGGCACCUGCCUUUGGCCCAGGGCGCGAUCCUGGAGACCCGAGAUCGAAUCCCACAUCGGGCUCCCGGUGCAUGGAGCCUGCUUCUCCCUCUGCCUGUGUCUCUGCCUCUCUCUCUCUCUCUCUCUGUGUGACUAUCAUAAAUAAAUAAAAAUUAAAAAAAAAAAAGGACAAAGUUUAAAAAAAAAAAGAAUUAGGAAGAGCGUAAUUGAUUACAUGUAAUGUUUAAGUGUUCGGGGAAAUCUACUUUGUUAAAAUCAUAAAAAUUCAAUUUAUUAGUUGUAGAAAUAAUGCAGGCAUCCUUUGCCUUGUGCUUUGCUUUCAGAGGCUUUGCAGAUACUGCAUUCGUCACAAACUGAAGGUUUGCGGCCACCCUGUAUCCAACAAUUCUGCACACCUCGGAGAUGCUGUGGUUCCGUUCCAGGCUGCACAGUAAAGCAAGUGAAACGAAGUUUCUGGUUUCCCGGUGCAUAUAAACGUCACGUCUCCACCACAGUCUCUCACUUGCAUCUAUAAAGGAUGCAAUGGCCUAUGUCUGAAAAGAAACCCAGUGGACAUGCCUUCAUCAGAAACUGCUUUAUUCUGCUUCUCCCUCUGCCUGUGACUCUGCCUCUCUCUCUCUCUCUCAUGAAUAAAUAAAUAAAAUCUUUAAAAAAAAAAAAAAAAGAAAGAAAGAAACUGCUUUAUUGCCCAAGGACACUAACCAUCUUUUUGCUGGUAGAGGGCCUGGCCUCCGUGUUGAUGCUGAGACUUAUGGGGGUGGGGGGCGCCCGGGGCAAUUUCUUAACAUAAUUCAACAAUGAAGUUUGUUAACCUCCAUCGACUCUCCCUUUCACUUGAACACUUGGAGGCCACUGUAGGCUUAUUAAUUGGCCUGCUUUCAAUAUUGUCGUGUCUCAGGGACUAGAGAGCCCCAAGGAGAGGGAGAGAGAUGGGGCAAUGGCCGGUGGAAGCAGCAGUUAGGACGCACACAACUAUUUAUCAAGUGAGUGCUCUUUCUUUUUUUUUUUAAAGAUUUUAUAUAUUUAUUCAUGAGAGACACAGG